This 540-nucleotide ribosomal RNA is filed under the name Barbatia barbata. RNAcentral describes it as "partial 16S ribosomal RNA". It matches the Rfam family "Bacterial large subunit ribosomal RNA", at positions 1817 to 2600 of the family's 2925-position model. The record is from RNAcentral. Lineage: Eukaryota; Metazoa; Mollusca; Bivalvia; Arcoida; Arcidae.
AGCCUCUAGAAAAUCUUUAUAUUGGAGGUAACAUCUGCCCGGUGCUCUGCGGAGUUAACGGCGGCCUUAGCGUGAGGGUCUUAAGGUAGCAGUGUAACUUGCCAGUUAAUUGCUGGAUUGUAUGAAUGGAAAGUACACACGAGGGUGCCACUGUCUCGGACAAGGUUGCUUCGAAAUUUAUUUUUAGGUGAAGAAGCCUUAGAUUGGUUAAAAAGACGAGAAGACCCUGUGAAGCUUUUAUUGGCGUGACCCCAAACAAGAAGUGGGUACAAAUUUUGGAAGAAUGAAGGUGGUGGCGAGAUUUUUGCUGGGGCGGCUCACAGGGGAAGAUAAACCCCCAUGAGAAGCACUAAUGAGCUGGCAGGCGAUGAACCACUUUAAUAAGCGGUUAAUGGAGUAAGCUACUCCGGGGAUAACAGCGUAAUCUCUCAAGAGAGAACUUAUCAAAUGGGAGGAUUGCGACCUCGAUGUUGAAUGUGGUUAUCCUCGUACUAGCAGCCGGUUAGAAGGGUUGGACUGUUCGUCCAUUAAAAACCAACC